UACGUAGGGUGCGAGCGUUAAUCGGAAUUACUGGGCGUAAAGCGUGCGCAGGCGGUUUUUUAAGCCAGAUGUGAAAUCCCCGGGCUCAACCUGGGAACUGCAUUUGGAACUGGCAGUCUAGAGUGUGUCAGAGGGGGGUGGAAUUCCACGUGUAGCAGUGAAAUGCGUAGAUAUGUGGAGGAACACCAACGGCGAAGGCAGCCCCUGGGAUAACACUGACGCUCAUGUACGAAAGCGUGGGUAGCAAACAGGAUUAGAUACCCUUGUAGU
Molecule: ribosomal RNA, 270 nt
Filed under: uncultured bacterium
Lineage: Bacteria
Description: partial 16S ribosomal RNA
Rfam family: Bacterial small subunit ribosomal RNA
Source: RNAcentral